GAUGAACGCUGGCGGCGUGCCUAAUACAUGCAAGUCGAGCGAACAGACGAGGAGCUUGCUCCUCUGACGUUAGCGGCGGACGGGUGAGUAACACGUGGAUAACCUACCUAUAAGACUGGGAUAACUUCGGGAAACCGGAGCUAAUACCGGAUAAUAUAUUGAACCGCAUGGUUCAAUAGUGAAAGACGGUUUUGCUGUCACUUAUAGAUGGAUCCGCGCCGCAUUAGCUAGUUGGUAAGGUAACGGCUUACCAAGGCAACGAUGCGUAGCCGGCCUGAGAGGGUGAUCGGCUACACGGGAACUGAGACACGGCCCAGACUCCUACGGGAGGCAGCAGUAGGGAAUCUUCCGCAAUGGGGGAAAGCUUGACGGAGCAACGCCGCGUGAGGGAUGAAGGUCUUCGGAUCGUAAAACGAUGUUAUUAGGGAAGAACAAAUGUGUAAGUAACUAUGCACGUCUUGACGGUACCGAAUCAGAAAGCCACGGCUAACUACGUG
This 497-nucleotide ribosomal RNA is filed under the name uncultured bacterium. Its description in RNAcentral is "partial 16S ribosomal RNA". It matches the Rfam family "Bacterial small subunit ribosomal RNA", at positions 28 to 507 of the family's 1533-position model. The record is from RNAcentral.